RNAcentral lists this long non-coding RNA (2020 nucleotides) under Manacus vitellinus (golden-collared manakin). RNAcentral's name for it is "lncRNA (ENSMVIG00005014352.1)". The record is from RNAcentral. Lineage: Eukaryota; Metazoa; Chordata; Aves; Passeriformes; Pipridae.
GGCCGCUUCCAGCUGGUGCACGGCGCCGGCUCCUCGGCGCGCCGGGCGUGCGGCUGCUGCAGGACGCCUUCCGCAGGUGAGCGGCGCGGGCCGCGGGCGGGGGCUGCAGGGCGGCGGGGGCGGGAGCAGCCGCCUCAUGGCCCCGGCGGCGCCUGUGCUUCCCGGCAGGUACUACGAGUACAUUUUUUCGGGCAUUCCCGGCGGCGGAGGUGGGGCCGAAGGCCGCUGGCUGCCCGAGCGGAGCCCGAGCUGUCUGAGCUGCAGGUGGUGAUCGAGGCGCCGGACCCCGGCUGUGACAGCUUCCCGCACCUCGGCUCCAGCGAGGCCUAUCAUUUAACUGUAACUGAGCCUGUGGCUGUACUGAAAGCUUAUGAGGUAUGGGGUGCUUUAAGAGGUAAGUUGCUACUUUUCAUAUAGAGCUGUUUGGUAGGUCUUACACAAACUUCAUGGCAGACUAAGAACCAGCUGAUCACUGAGCUGUGCCCUCAUUCAGUAUGUCAUUGGAAGUAAGCUUGGUCAGGCCAGAAGGAUACUCAGAUGUUGUUGGUUUGAUGCUCCAUAUCUCAGAUCCAGUGGCGCACCGUAAGUGCACUCUCGCUUGCCUGAAAUCAGCCAGGCCAAGCAAACCCUGGGUGCUAAAAAGCUCUCUGAUCUAUAGUGUAAACAGAUUAUUCUCUGACUGCACCUAAUAACUUGACAUACUGAACACAUUACCACGAAGAUCAUAAGCUGAAGUUUCAGCCUGCUGUUCUUACUGCAAUGUUACACCAACAGAUUUUGCUCUCAGUAACUUUCUUACUAUUCAAGGAUUAAUUUGCUACCACUGAGCUGUAGUGAUAGUAUUCAGUAUCUGUGUGUAAUGGAGAAUUUGAAUGGUUCUGUCUUCGGAAUUUUUAAAACAGUGGUGCUUGAGCAAUUAAGGAAACUGUGCUGAAAAGAAGGAAACUCAGCUAUAAAGCAUUCUUUCUUGCUUUGUGAAUGCCUGUAAAUAGUUGUGGUCCUGUUUUUAACUAAAACUUUAAGGGCAAGUACUGGGUUGUAUUCCACAUCCCUUUCUUGGAUAUUUUUCCAGGUUUGGAAACCUUCAGCCAGUUGGUUCAUGAAGAUGACUAUGGAAGUGUAAGUAUUAACUAAAACCACUGUCCUGAUUAUAGACAAACAGAUUCUUUACUGGAUGCUUUUCUAGAAACAACAGAUUUACCCGUUUCAUUCAGUAACUUUUCAGUUUGUUAACAGAUUUCCUAGAAACAUUUUCUGAAAAAAAAUGUAUUUCCUGUUUGAAAUUAUGAAUAUUAAAUGGGAGUUCUGAUUUUUAAAUUUUGUUCUCAUAGUUUCUUGUCAAUGAAUCUGAAAUCAAUGACUUUCCAAGAUUUGCACAUAGAGGAAUCUUACUAGACACUUCAAGGCAUUAUUUACCAUUGAAAUCUAUUCUUACAAACCUGGUAAGUGGGCAGUUUUGUAUCAUUAUAAUGAAGGCUCUUUGUUGUUGUGUUUUGUCCCCUGAAGUAGGUAGCAACUGGAGCUGAUAUGAAAGAAAAACCCACCUCCUCUGGCUGACUUCUAAAAGGACAGAGUGAACUUUGUUAAGCAAAGGUCAGAACAGACUGGAGAGGAAUCAAGUAGGCAGACACAAUGAUUAGUGAAUCUGUAAUGGGGGCUGGGAUUUGUGGUACCUUGGAUUCUCCGUAUUUUUUGUUGCCCAAGCCAGCUAAUGUUUUACUUCUUGGAAGCAUAUUCUGAGACAUCUGACUGUCACCAAGCAAUACAUAGGAGACCUUGCAAGUUCUAGCUUCAGUGCCAGUGAUUUCAGGAAAAUUCCCAUCUUUUCAGUAGCCAGGCUUUGGUAGUCCUUUUCUUAGGCUGCUAAGAGCAAGCCACUGAUUAAGUAUUACAGAGCAAGAGAGAAAUUUGGUAAUGUUCACUGGAAGCUCCUGAAAAGAAAACCCCAGGCAAACAAAACAAACAAACAACAACAAAACACAAAACAAAUAAAACUUUCUCCAAAAAGCUUAUGUAAGCA